GAUCGAAAGUCGAAGUCGCUUUCCGUACACGGAACGGAACGGACGUGUUUCUCUCUGCUCCUCGAACGAAUAUUAUAUCGUAUUUAAUAAAUGAAUAAAUCCAGUGCAAAUAAUUAUAAAUAAAUUAAACAUCAAUUGUAAAAAAAGUAAAGAAACGUAAUAAAAGAUCGAAUCGAUAUUUCGCAACGAUACAUAUAAUAUAAUAUAUAAUAUAUAAAUAACGUAAUAUAUACGAUACAUAAGUAAUAUAUUUUAAUCAAAUAACAAAUAAUUAAACUAACAUGCACGUAUGAAACGUUGGACAUUAAUGGAUUAAGUCAAUUUAAUUUCUUGAAUCGUAUAAACAGGGAUUUUCGAAUAAAUUUUUGUUAUGUCAAAAUGAAGAAAAAAAAAAAAAAGAAAAGAGGAAUACACGCUUUGGAAUAAAAAAAAGAAAGCGUUUUUUUUCGAAAGGGAGUUUUUUCCAGAUAUAUCACUGACGGAUUUAAUUAAAAAUUUUGGAACGAAAAAAAAAAAGGAAGAAUCGUAGUCGUACACGUGGAACGAAUGGAAAAGAGCGUAGGGAGGAAAGAAUCGAUCGAUCAUCAAUGUGUCGUUGAAAUACGACUUUGAAACGCGUGGAUAUUUUAUCGUGGCAAACAAUGAUCCACUUUAAUAAAACUCUAAUUGCGAUUAAAUCGAUCGCGGUGGACAACGGCUUUGAAAAAUUGCGAAAUGUUUAUGGAAGCGUGUAAUUUAUAAACGAUAGUUAAUACGUUUAAAAUUUGUAACACAAUAAAAAUUACAUUCUUUACGAAGAUUCGGAACAAACGAAA
Molecule: long non-coding RNA, 815 nt
Organism: Apis cerana (Asiatic honeybee)
Lineage: Eukaryota; Metazoa; Arthropoda; Insecta; Hymenoptera; Apidae
Source: RefSeq, a predicted model, not a curated record